GCAAGUCGAGGGGUAACAGGUUCCUUCGGGAAUGCUGACGACCGGCGCACGGGUGAGUAACGCGUAUGCAACUUUCCUGUAACUGGAGGAUAGCCCCUGGAAACGGGGAUUAAUACUGCGUAAUACCUAAAUACCGCAUGGUAUUAAGGUCAAAUCUACGGAGGUUACAGAUGGGCAUGCGUGCCAUUAGCUAGAUGGUAAGGUAACGGCUUACCAUGGCAAUGAUGGCUAGGGGUUCUGCAAGGAAGGCCCCCCACACUGGUACUGAGACACGGACCAGACUCCUACGGGAGGCAGCAGUGAGGAAUAUUGGUCAAUGGAGGCAACUCUGAACCAGCCAAGCCGCGUGAAGGAAGACUGUCCUAUGGAUUGUAAACUUCUUUUGUGGCAGAAUAAACUACCGUACUUGUACGGUAUUGCAUGUAUGCCAUGAAUAAGCAUCGGCUAACUCCGUGCCAGCAGCCGCGGUAAUACGGAGGAUGCAGGCGUUAUCCGGAUUUAUUAGGUUUAAAGGGUGUUCAGGCUGCCUGGUAAGUCAGAUGUGAAAGCCCGGGGCUCAACUCCGGGACUGCAUUUGAAACUGUCAAGCUAGAGUACAGGAGAGGAAAGCGGAAUUCCUAGUGUAGCGGUGAAAUGCGUAGAUAUUAGGAAGAACACCAGUGGCGAAGGCGGCUUUCUGGACUGUAACUGACGCUGAGGUACGAAAGCGUGGGGAGCGAACAGGAUUAGAUACCCUGGUAGUCCACGCUGUAAACGAUGAAUGCUAGGUGUCGGGCGUCAAAACUCGGUGCCGAAGUUAACGCAUUAAGCAUUCCACCUGGGGAGUACGAUCGCAAGAUUGAAACUCAAAGGAAUUGACGGGGGCCCGCACAAGCGGUGGAGCAUGUGGUUUAAUUCGAAGCAACGCGAAGAACCUUACCAAAUCUUGACAUCCUUCUGACCGUUCCUUAAUCGGAACUUUCCUUCGGGACAGAAGUGACAGGUGGUGCAUGGUUGUCGUCAGCUCGUGUCGUGAGAUGUUGGGUUAAGUCCCGUAACGAGCGCAACCCUUAUUUUUAGUAGCCAGCGGGUCAAGCCGGGGACUCUAGAGAGACUGCCGGGGAUAACUCGGAGGAAGGCGGGGAUGACGUCAAAUCAUCAUGCCCCUUAUGAUUUGGGCUACACACGUGCUACAAUGGCGGAUACAAAGGGAAGCGAAGGGGUGACCUGAAGCAAACCUCAUAAAGUCCGUCCCAGUUCGGAUUGUAGUCUGCAACUCGACUACAUGAAGUUGGAAUCGCUAGUAAUCGCGAAUCAGAAUGUCGCGGUGAAUACGUUCCCGGGCCUUGUACACACCGCCCGUCACACCACGGAAGUCGGAAGCGCCCAACGCCAGUGACCCAACCUUUUGGGGGGAGCU
This 1399-nucleotide ribosomal RNA is filed under the name uncultured organism. Its description in RNAcentral is "partial 16S ribosomal RNA". It matches the Rfam family "Bacterial small subunit ribosomal RNA". The record is from RNAcentral.